RNAcentral lists this transfer RNA (73 nucleotides) under Candidatus Nanohalobium constans. Its description in RNAcentral is "tRNA-Met". It matches the Rfam family "tRNA". Rfam says of the family: Transfer RNA (tRNA) molecules are approximately 80 nucleotides in length. The record is from RNAcentral. Lineage: Archaea; Nanobdellati; Candidatus Nanohalarchaeota; Candidatus Nanohalobia; Candidatus Nanohalobiales; Candidatus Nanohalobiaceae.
GGGAAAGUAGCUCAGGGGCUAGAGCGCUGCGCUCAUAACGCAGAGGUCCCGGGUUCAAUUCCCGGCUUUCCCA